UAAUACGGAGGGUCCAAGCGUUGUUCGGAAUCAUUGGGCGUAAAGCGGGUGUAGGCGGCUUGGCAAGUCGGAUGUGAAAUCCCAGGGCCCAACCCUGGAACUGCAUUCGAAACUGCUUCGCUAGAGUCCCGGAGAGGAUGGCGGAAUUCCCGGUGUAGGGGUGAAAUCCGUAGAUAUCGGGAGGAACACCAGUGGCGAAGGCGGCCAUCUGGACGGUGACUGACGCUCAGACCCGAAAGCGUGGGGAGCAAACAGGAUUAGAUACCCUGGUAGUCCACGCCGUAAACGUUGAGUGCUCGUCGUCGCGGGUAUUGACCCCUGCGGUGACCAAGCUAACGCAAGAAGCACUCCGCCUGGGGAGUACGGUCGCAAGACUA
Molecule: ribosomal RNA, 377 nt
Filed under: uncultured delta proteobacterium
Lineage: Bacteria; Deltaproteobacteria
Description: bacterial SSU rRNA
Rfam family: Bacterial small subunit ribosomal RNA
Source: RNAcentral